This 500-nucleotide ribosomal RNA is filed under the name uncultured bacterium. RNAcentral describes it as "partial 16S ribosomal RNA". It matches the Rfam family "Bacterial small subunit ribosomal RNA", at positions 30 to 523 of the family's 1533-position model. The record is from RNAcentral.
AUUGAACGCUGGCGGAAUGCUUUACACAUGCAAGUCGAACGGCAGCACGGACUUCGGUCUGGUGGCGAGUGGCGAACGGGUGAGUAAUAUAUCGGAACGUGCCCAGUCGUGGGGGAUAACGUAGCGAGAGCUACGCUAAUACCGCAUACGAUCUACGGAUGAAAGCGGGGGAUCGCAAGACCUCGCGCGAUUGGAGCGGCCGAUAUCAGAUUAGGUAGUUGGUGAGGUAAAGGCUCACCAAGCCGACGAUCUGUAGCUGGUCUGAGAGGACGACCAGCCACACUGGGACUGAGACACGGCCCAUGCUCCGACGGGAGGCAGCAGUGGGGAAUUUUGGACAAUGGACGCAGGUCUGAUCCAGCCAUUCCGCGUGCAGGACGAAGGCCUUCGGGUUGUAAACUGCUUUUGUACAGAACGAAAAGGUCUCUAUUAAUACUAGGGGCUCAUGACGGUACUGUAAGAAUAAGCACCGGCUAACUACGUGCCAGCCGCCGCCGUAA